Long non-coding RNA from Zophobas morio, 404 nucleotides. RefSeq lists it as uncharacterized. Lineage: Eukaryota; Metazoa; Arthropoda; Insecta; Coleoptera; Tenebrionidae. The record is from RefSeq and is a predicted model, not a curated record. The transcript has 2 exons.
AGGGCCGUAACGUCCAGGUAUUGUUUGCUGCAGCACCAGGUCGAAUUUAACAGUCGCUUUAAGAACUGCAGGUGCAAAAAGAUCACUUCCUGGUGAUUGUUUCGAAAAGUAGAUGAUUUGGCAAAAAUUUUGGUCGGUCGGUGAAACGAGAUCUUCGGCUGGAUAUGGACCACAAGGUGGAUGUGCUUGAGUAGUGAAUAAUAGUGAUUUUGUGUUAGUGAGUGUUGUUGUAAUUCGAUUCCACUAGUGAAGUAAUCUUUAAUUAAUUUAUUUUAAACCAAAUCACUUUUAUCUAAGAAAUCGUGUUUAAGACUUUGAGAAAAAAUCAGAAACAGUAGAGCUAUUUGAAAAUAUUUUGAAAAUGUGUUUGAAGUAAAAGUCAAUAAAGACUGAGUUUUUUUAAA